RNAcentral lists this ribosomal RNA (343 nucleotides) under uncultured Limnohabitans sp. RNAcentral describes it as "bacterial SSU rRNA". It matches the Rfam family "Bacterial small subunit ribosomal RNA", at positions 1 to 354 of the family's 1533-position model. Lineage: Bacteria; Pseudomonadati; Pseudomonadota; Betaproteobacteria; Burkholderiales; Comamonadaceae. The record is from RNAcentral.
ACUGGAGUUUGAUCCUGGCUCAGAUUGAACGCUGGCGGAAUGCUUUACACAUGCAAGUCGAACGGUAGAGGGGGCAACCCCUUGAGAGUGGCGAACGGGUGAGUAAUAUAUCGGAACGUGCCCAGUCGUGGGGGAUAACGUAGUGAAAAUUACGCUAAUACCGCAUACGAUCUAAGGAUGAAAGCGGGGGAUCGCAAGACCUUGCGCGAUUGGAGCGGCCGAUAUCAGAUUAGGUAGUUGGUGAGGUAAGGCUCACCAAGCCAACGAUCUGUAGCUGGUCUGAGAGGACGACCAGCCACACUGGAACUGAGACACGGUCCAGACUCCGUACGGGAGGCAGCGA